UACGGGGGGGGUAAGCGUUGUUCGGAAUUACUGGGCGUAAAGGGUUCGUAGGUGGCCAACUAAGUCAUACGUGAAAUCCCUCAGCUUAACUGGGGAACUGCGUCUGAUACUGGAUGGCUUGAGUUUGGGAGAGGGAUGCGGAAUUCCAGGUGUAGCGGUGAAAUGCGUAGAUAUCUGGAGGAACACCGGUGGCGAAGGCGGCAUCCUGGACCAACACUGACACUGAUGAGCGAAAGCCAGGGGAGCAAACGGG
This 253-nucleotide ribosomal RNA is filed under the name uncultured bacterium. RNAcentral's name for it is "partial 16S ribosomal RNA". It matches the Rfam family "Bacterial small subunit ribosomal RNA", at positions 524 to 776 of the family's 1533-position model. The record is from RNAcentral.